GGGAGGCAGCAGUGAGGAAUAUUGGUCAAUGGGCGAGAGCCUGAACCAGCCAAGUAGCGUGAAGGACGACGGCCUACGGGUUGUAAACUUCUUUUAUAAGGGAAUAAGUUCGCCACGUGUGGUGUUUUGUAUGUACCUUAUGAAUAAGCAUCGGCUAAUUCCGUGCCAGCAGCCGCGGUAAUACGGAAGAUGCGAGCGUUAUCCGGAUUUAUUGGGUUUAAAGGGAGCGUAGGCGGGCUUUUAAGUCAGCGGUCAAAUGCCACGG
RNAcentral lists this ribosomal RNA (265 nucleotides) under uncultured bacterium. Its description in RNAcentral is "partial 16S ribosomal RNA". It matches the Rfam family "Bacterial small subunit ribosomal RNA", at positions 343 to 607 of the family's 1533-position model. The record is from RNAcentral.